Molecule: ribosomal RNA, 1284 nt
Filed under: metagenome
Description: bacterial SSU rRNA
Rfam family: Bacterial small subunit ribosomal RNA
Source: RNAcentral
AGCUUGUUGGUGAGGUAAUGGCUCACCAAGGCGACGAUCCGUAGCUGGUCUGAGAGGAUGAUCAGCCACACUGGAACUGACACACGGUCCAGACUCCUACGGGAGGCAGCAGUGAGGAAUUUUGCGCAAUGGGGGAAACCCUGACGCAGCAACGCCGCGUGAGUGAUGAAGGCUUUCGGGUCGUAAAGCUCUGUCAAGUGGGAAGAACCUGCAGUAUGCUAAUAUCAUAUUGCACUGACGGUACCACUGAAGGAAGCACCGGCUAACUCCGUGCCAGCAGCCGCGGUAAUACGGGGGGUGCAAGCGUUAUUCGGAAUCAUUGGGCGUAAAGAGCACGUAGGCGGCCUGGUAAGUCAGAUGUGAAAGCCCGGGGCUUAACCCCGGAAGUGCAUUUGAUACUGUCAGGCUUGAGUAUGGGAGAGGGAAGUGGAAUUCCUGGUGUAGAGGUGAAAUUCGUAGAUAUCAGGAGGAACACCGGUGGCGAAGGCGACUUCCUGGACCAAUACUGACGCUGAGGUGCGAAGGCGUGGGUAGCAAACAGGAUUAGAUACCCUGGUAGUCCACGCAGUAAACGUUGUUCACUAGGUGUAGCGGGUAUUGACCCCUGCUGUGCCGCAGUUAACGCAUUAAGUGAACCGCCUGGGGAGUACGGCCGCAAGGUUAAAACUCAAAGGAAUUGACGGGGGCCCGCACAAGCGGUGGAGCAUGUGGUUUAAUUCGACGCAACGCGAAGAACCUUACCUGGAUUUGACAUCCCGGGAAUCCUAUCGAAAGACUGGAGUGCCCUUCGGGGAGCCCGGAGACAGGUGCUGCAUGGCUGUCGUCAGCUCGUGUUUGAGAUGUUGGGUUAAGUCCCGCAACGAGCGCAACCCUUGUCUUUAGUUACCAUCAUUCAGUUGGGGACUCUAAAGAUACUGCCCCGGUCAACGGGGAGGAAGGUGGGGAUGACGUCAAGUCCUCAUGGCCUUUAUGUCCAGGGCUACACACGUGCUACAAUGGGCUGUACAAAGGGUCGCGAACCCGCGAGGGUAAGCCAAUCCCAAAAAGCAGUCCCAAGUUCGGAUUGGAGUCUGCAACUCGACUCCAUGAAGCUGGAAUCGCUAGUAAUCGCGGAUCAGCAUGCCGCGGUGAAUACGUUCCCGGGCCUUGUACACACCGCCCGUCACACCAUGAGAGUAGGUUGUACCAGAAGUCGUCGGGCUAACCUUUCGAGGAUGCAGGCGCCUAAGGUAUGGCUGAUAAUUAGGGUGAAGUCGAAACAAGGUAGCCGUUGGGGACCAGCGG